Molecule: long non-coding RNA, 1203 nt
Filed under: Homo sapiens (human)
Lineage: Eukaryota; Metazoa; Chordata; Mammalia; Primates; Hominidae
Description: long non-coding RNA NONHSAT194709.1
Source: RNAcentral
CGGGAGGUGCGCUGAGCAGGGUCCGCAGCUAAGGUCCAGCGCGAUCCGAGCGCCCAGGACCCUGCGGCCGUGGAGGAGGCGUGCCCUGGGAAGGAGCCGCUACUGGGACCUGAAGAGUGAGGGGAGGGAGAGGGGCCCAGAGGGUGACCUGGAGGAGGGCUCUGGAAGUCACGUCAGGUUGGCUCUUCAGGUUCAUUUCCAUAGUUCCCUGCGGCCUCUGCCUUGGGGAGUUAUGUUUUGUUACCGAGAUCCGCGCUACCAGAUUGCACCGGGGCUGAUUUGGGGGCUGGGAAUUUGCCAUUCUGCUGUACAGACACUGAUUUUUUUUUCUUCUUUUUAAAAAGCAAGAUUUUAGGUGAUGGGCAAGUCAGAAAGUCAGAUGGAUAUAACUGAUAUCAACACUCCAAAGCCAAAGAAGAAACAGCGAUGGACUCCACUGGAGAUCAGCCUCUCGGUCCUUGUCCUGCUCCUCACCAUCAUAGCUGUGACAAUGAUCGCACUCUAUGCAACCUACGAUGGUGAAUGGUAUUUGCAAGUCAUCAGACUGCAUAAAAUCAGCUGCUCGACUGAUCCAAAACAUGGAUGCCACCACUGAGCCUUGUACAGACUUUUUCAAAUAUGCUUGCGGAGGCUGGUUGAAACGUAAUGUCAUUCCCGAGACCAGCUCCCGUUACGGCAACUUUGACAUUUUAAGAGAUGAACUAGAAGUCGUUUUGAAAGGUUAGUAGAGAUUGUGUCUAACCCAAAACUGAAGAUAUAGUAGCAGUGCAGAAAGCAAAAGCAUUGUACAGGUCUUGUAUAAAUGAAUCUGCUAUUGAUAGCAGAGGUGGAGAACCUCUACUCAAACUGUUACCAGACAUAUAUGGGUGGCCAGUAGCAACAGAAAACUGGGAGCAAAAAUAUGGUGCUUCUUGGACAGCUGAAAAAGCUAUUGCACAACUGAAUUCUAAAUAUGGGAAAAAAGUCCUUAUUAAUUUGUUUGUUGGCACUGAUGAUAAGAAUUCUGUGAAUCAUGUAAUUCAUAUUGACCAACCUCGACUUGGCCUCCCUUCUAGAGAUUACUAUGAAUGCACUGGAAUCUAUAAAGAGGCUUGUACAGCAUAUGUGGAUUUUAUGAUUUCUGUGGCCAGAUUGAUUCGUCAGGAAGAAAGAUUGCCCAUCGAUGAAAACCAGCUUGCUUUGGAAAUGAAUAAAGUUAUGGAA